Molecule: ribosomal RNA, 307 nt
Filed under: uncultured bacterium
Lineage: Bacteria
Description: bacterial SSU rRNA
Rfam family: Bacterial small subunit ribosomal RNA
Source: RNAcentral
AUUGAACGCUGGCGGAAUGCUUUACACAUGCAAGUCGAACGGCAGCACGGGGGCAACCCUGGUGGCGAGUGGCGAACGGGUGAGUAAUACAUCGGAACGUGCCCAGUCGUGGGGAUAACUACGCGAAAGCGUAGCUAAUACCGCAUACGAUCUACGGAUGAAAGCGGGGGAUCGCAAGACCUCGCGCGAUUGGAGCGGCCGAUGGCAGAUUAGGUAGUUGGUGGGGAAAGGCUCACCAAGCCAACGAUCUGUAGCUGGUCUGAGAGGACGACCAGCCACACUGGGACUGAGACACGGCCCAGACUCC